GGUCAGUAGGUUGGUCGUGCCACCGGUACGUACUGGUCUCACUGAUUCCUCCUUCCUGAAGAACCGUAAUGCCAUUAAUUUGGUGUUGCGGGGAAACAGGACUGUUACUUUGAAAAAAUUAGAGUGUUUAAAGCAAGCUAACGCUUGAAUACAUUAGCAUGGAAUAAUGGAAUAGGACGAUCGAUCCUAUUUUGUUGGUUUCUAGGAUUGACGUA
RNAcentral lists this ribosomal RNA (215 nucleotides) under Glomeromycotina sp. RNAcentral's name for it is "partial small subunit ribosomal RNA". The stretch from base 39 to 215 matches the Rfam family "Eukaryotic small subunit ribosomal RNA", at positions 686 to 864 of the family's 1831-position model. Lineage: Eukaryota; Fungi; Glomeromycota. The record is from RNAcentral.